UCUCGGCAACGGAUAUCUCGGCUCUCGCAUCGAUGAAGAACGUAGCGAAAUGCGAUACUUGGUGUGAAUUGCAGAAUCCCGUGAACCAUCGAGUCUUUGAACGCAAGUUGCGCCCGAGGCCUUUCGGUUGAGGGCACGCCUGCCUGGGCGUCACGCCUUGUUUC
This 164-nucleotide ribosomal RNA is filed under the name Lilium pumilum. RNAcentral's name for it is "5.8S ribosomal RNA". It matches the Rfam family "5.8S ribosomal RNA". Rfam says of the family: 5.8S ribosomal RNA (5.8S rRNA) is a component of the large subunit of the eukaryotic ribosome. The record is from RNAcentral. Lineage: Eukaryota; Viridiplantae; Streptophyta; Magnoliopsida; Liliales; Liliaceae.